This 450-nucleotide ribosomal RNA is filed under the name uncultured bacterium. RNAcentral's name for it is "bacterial SSU rRNA". It matches the Rfam family "Bacterial small subunit ribosomal RNA", at positions 355 to 825 of the family's 1533-position model. The record is from RNAcentral.
UCAAGAAACUUCCACAAUGGGCGAAAGCCUGAUGGAGCGACGUCGCGUGAUGGACGAAGUGCUUCGGCACGUAAACAUCUUUUAUGUGGGAUGAAAUUAUUGACAGUACCACAUGAAUAAGGGGCUCCUAACUCUGUGCCAGCAGGAGCGGUAAUACAGAGGCCCCAAGCGUUAUCCGGAAUCACUGGGCGUAAAGGGUGUCGAGGCGGUUGUAUUAGUCGUUCGUAAAAUCUACGAGCUUAACUUGUAGGCGGCGAACGAAACGGUACGACUUGAGGUUUGGAGAGGUGCGUGGAACUCACGGUGUAGGGGUGAAAUCCGUUGAUAUCGUGGGGAACACCAAAGGCGAAGGCAGCGCACUGCCCAAAAUCUGACGCUCACACACGAAAGCUAGGGUAGCGAAGAGGAUUAGAUACCCCCGUAGUCCCUGAGCGGGCUGGCAAGGCGCAU